This is a non-coding RNA of Camellia sinensis, 1142 nucleotides long. The record is from RefSeq and is a predicted model, not a curated record. NCBI's taxonomy places the organism in Eukaryota, Viridiplantae, Streptophyta, Magnoliopsida, Ericales, Theaceae.
AAUGGCAGCAUAGCAUAUCUCGCAUCCCGCAGCAGGUUGGUGCCCCAAUUGAUGAGGCCUAGAACCCCGUCCUGUUUCCCCAGUGCCUCCCUAAGGGGACCCACUCUACAUGACUCGUGAGGAGUACUUACAGCUUCAGUACUCUGUGGAUCAGGUCCAUAGUACUCUUCGUGAUCGCCACCCGAGUCUCAUGGAGUUGUGCACGGAUUUUCAGGUGCAUCGAGACUAUUCUCAGGCGACCUUCGACCAGCUACACGCCCACCAGCUCGACAUCUAGCAACGGGUUCAGGAUGAAGCCUUUGAGACGUGCUCUUUGAUGCAAGCCUUGUUUGCCCAGCAUUUCCCGCCACCACCGCCACCGGCUUCUCCGUAGUACCCAUUGUACCAGCAUGGUUCCUGAGACGAAGACAGGGCGACGUAAGAAAACGACAACUGACCCCAUGGCAUCACCCUCAGGAACAUCUGCACAUGUCAUUGUCACACCACAGACUUUAUCCGAUGAGACACAACCACCGGAUGACACACAAACAUUUGUGGAAGAGACACAGGCGCACGGCGUAGGUAAGACCAUUGCACGUUUUUGUUGCAUCUUCAGGGUUGACUGACUGCGGACUACAAUGUUUAUUCUUGUUCUUGGUAGUUUUGUAGGUGUGUUUCGGCCCCUAAAGAUAACUUUAUUUGACUUAACCAAAUGAUUUUUCUUCAUCUAGAAAGACAAUUUCUUACAUGUAUAAAAAAAUUAUAAUCCCUUAGAAAAUUUGCUUAAAUGAUUGUUAAAUUUAAUAUUAAUUAUUGUCGAUUAUAUGUUUGGGCACUAAUUGCAUGUGAAGGCCUUACACUUGUUGCCCCUUCUUGACCAAGGAAAAGUACGUCAACUCGUGUACGUGGUCCUACAAUCGGAAAAGGAGUGCAAAAAAGGAUUGUGAGAAAAAAAAGGGGAGAAACUACAUGUAUAUGUCAAUCACAUGCUCAAUGCCCUCACUGGAGGGAAUGCCACGCCUGCAACAAAUGAGUUAGGCUUGUUGAUAAGGCUGUUGUGCCCUCUAAAGGGAGUGAAGUCAUGGAAGAAAAUUGAUCAAAGUGUCAAAGAUGCUGUAGUACAAGCUGUGACAAGUUUGAAAUUGGUGAGGAUUUUCAUACUG